AGAGUUUGAUCAUGGCUCAGGACGAACGCUGGCGGCGUGCCUAAUACAUGCAAGUAGAACGCUGAAGGAGGAGCUUGCUCUUCUGGAUGAGUUGCGAACGGGUGAGUAACGCGUAGGUAACCUGCCUGGUAGCGGGGGAUAACUAUUGGAAACGAUAGCUAAUACCGCAUAACAUUGACUAUUGCAUGAUAGUCAAUUGAAAGGUGCAAAUGCACCACUACCAAAUGGACCUGCGUUGUAUUA
RNAcentral lists this ribosomal RNA (243 nucleotides) under uncultured Streptococcus sp. RNAcentral's name for it is "partial 16S ribosomal RNA". It matches the Rfam family "Bacterial small subunit ribosomal RNA", at positions 8 to 243 of the family's 1533-position model. The record is from RNAcentral. Lineage: Bacteria; Bacillati; Bacillota; Bacilli; Lactobacillales; Streptococcaceae.